RNAcentral lists this ribosomal RNA (440 nucleotides) under uncultured bacterium. RNAcentral describes it as "partial 16S ribosomal RNA". It matches the Rfam family "Bacterial small subunit ribosomal RNA", at positions 338 to 795 of the family's 1533-position model. The record is from RNAcentral.
CCUACGGGAGGCAGCAGUGGGGAAUAUUGCACAAUGGGGGAAACCCUGAUGCAGCGACGCCGCGUGAGUGAAGAAGUAUUUCGGUACGUAAAGCUCUAUCAGCAGGGAAGAAAAUGACGGUACCUGACUAAGAAGCCCCGGCUAACUACGUGCCAGCAGCCGCGGUAAUACGUAGGGGGCAAGCGUUAUCCGGAUUUACUGGGUGUAAAGGGAGCGGAGACGGCAGCGCAAGUCUGGAGUGAAAUCCCAUGGCUUAACCAUGGAACUGCUUUGGAAACUGUGCAGCUAGAGUGCAGGAGAGGUAAGCGGAAUUCCUAGUGUAGCGGUGAAAUGCGUAGAUAUUAGGAGGAACACCAGUGGCGAAGGCGACUUACUGGACUGUAACUGACGUUGAGGCUCGAAAGCGUGGGGAGCAAACAGGAUUAGAUACCCGAGUAGUC